UGCAACCUGUAAAUUUUUCUCGUUUGAUGCUUUGCUACGCAUUCGUAACCUUGAAUGGGAGUGAAUAUGGUCGGACGUACCUGAAUUACAUCAUGCCCGGGCACCAGCGCGUUGACGGCAUGUGGACACAGGAACACAGACGUCAUGUACUACAGCCAAUCGGAAAACACGUUGCCAUAUGGCUGCUCAGUUGACGCAACAGCCAGGUUGUUGCGACCGUGCUGACUAAUGCACGUUGUCUGUUUAGAUUUCUUCGUUGAGCCUACGUUUCCCCGGGAAAUUAUCAGACUAGCUGACUGUACACAAGAGCAAUGGUGAGAAGUGUGAAGCAGAAGACAAAAUGGUCGAAGUUUCGCUUGUGUUACUGUCAGCUGUUUCUAUAAACUGUGUCGUGUUACCUCUGAAGGCUGACGCUGCUAUGUAUAUCCAAUGACAUUCGGAACACACUAGGGUUUGUUGGCAAUGCUAAAAACCUGCGUUGUCCCGUAGCAAUAAGCAGAGCUUGACGUUGUGUUUCGUUAAAAGGAAUUUCUGCUUUC
Molecule: long non-coding RNA, 539 nt
Organism: Ornithodoros turicata
Lineage: Eukaryota; Metazoa; Arthropoda; Arachnida; Ixodida; Argasidae
Exons: 2
Source: RefSeq, a predicted model, not a curated record